This 497-nucleotide ribosomal RNA is filed under the name uncultured bacterium. Its description in RNAcentral is "partial 16S ribosomal RNA". It matches the Rfam family "Bacterial small subunit ribosomal RNA", at positions 28 to 507 of the family's 1533-position model. The record is from RNAcentral.
GAUGAACGCUGGCGGCGUGCCUAAUACAUGCAAGUCGAGCGAACAGACGAGGAGCUUUCUCCUUUGACGUUAGCGGCGGACGGGUGAGUAACACGUGGAUAACCUACCUAUAAGACUGGGAUAACUUCGGGAAACCGGAGCUAAUACCGGAUAAUAUAUUGAACCGCAUGGUUCAAUAGUGAAAGACGGUUUUGCCGUCACUUAUAGAUGGAUCCGCGCCGCAUUAGCUAGGUGGUAAGGUAACGGCUUACCAAGGCAACGAUGCGUAGCCGACCUGAGAGGGUGAUCGGCCACACUGGAACUGAGACACGGUCCAGACUCCUACGGGAGGCAGCAGUAGGGAAUCUUCCACAAUGGGCGAAAGCUUGACGGAGCAACGCCGCGUGAGUGAUGAAGGUCUUCGGGUCGUAAAACUCUGUUAUUAGGAAAGAACAAAUGUGUGAGUAUCUCUGCACGUCUUGACGGUACCUAAACAGAAAGCCACGGCUAACUACGUG